Molecule: non-coding RNA, 1945 nt
Organism: Callithrix jacchus (white-tufted-ear marmoset)
Lineage: Eukaryota; Metazoa; Chordata; Mammalia; Primates; Cebidae
Source: RefSeq, a predicted model, not a curated record
AAUCCCCUUUGCAGUUUAUAGCACAGAGAUUAAUAACAUAGCUAUGGGAGAUAUUCUACCUGAUUCAAAUCUUUACCAACAACUUAACUGAUCGUCUACAGAGUCAGACUAGAACCACACCAUUGACUUUCCUGGGAAUCCAGCUGGCUGACUUCAGAUCUUGGGAUUUCUCAGUUUUCAAAUCAUGUUCUGGGGUACAUGUGCAGAUUACACAGGAUUGUUGCAUAGCCCUUUUCAAGUGUGAACCCAGUGGAGACCUUUGCAAACUGAAGUCAUGAAGCAGGUUGCAUGAGGCAGACCCAUCUCCUAGCAGCUGUAUCCAUAGACACCGCCUGGUUUUGGUCUCCAUCCCUUACCUAGCACUCAAGACCUCAUCCACUCCAGGCCCACACUGCGAAGCAGGGUUUUCAUUUCUCCUGACCUAUCCUUGCCUCAUAGUACUAGCUGAGGGACAUGGUCUUUCCAAAGGAUCUUGGAACGUGGACAGUACAUUCAUCUCUCUGGAUGCUUGAUGUUCCCUUUUGGAAUCAAGCGGAGCCAUCAGAAGGUCAACGGACCAUGUUUUGCCACAGUCCUGUGCAGAAUCAAGCUGGGUUAUGCUCUCACUGCCUCUGUCCCACAUUGAGACAGCCUUGUGAAUAUUGUUCACUAUAUCAUACACUGCCUCCUGUAUGAAGCCCAUGGAAGAGAUUCUUCUAGAACUAUCCUGGGGAAAUAAGUAUGGAUUGGCUCUCCUUUGUAUUGUGGCUGCCAGGAAACUGAAAGCCACACUUGAAACUGUACCAUAGCAGCCAGUGAGAUUUUAUGGUCUGGGUUUUGGGCUCUGUGUUCUUUCCCCAUUAUGUAUAGUUUCUCUCAUUCUUACUCUUUAUGCUAAUGAACUCAGUCAUGGGAUACGAUUGAAAUAAGAAAGUGUCUGGUAUUGUAGAAGUUAAUUUGUGAAGUAAUAAUAAUAACAAUAAUAAAUAACACUUACUGAGUAAUUGCUGUGUGUGAAGCAUUGUUACAAGUCCCUUAUAUGCAUUUUUGUGUUAAUUUUAACACAAACCUUAAGUGGUAGGUGAUAUUACUGUCCCAUUUUUGUAAAGGAGAAAACAGAGGCAUGAAAUGAUAAAUGAUUUGCCCAAUGUUAUGAAGCAAGUAAUUGGCAAAGUCAAACUUUGAAUAUGGGAUAAUUUGACUCCAGAAACUAAGACCUGAUCCAUUAGGCAUUAAGCUUCCCAAGAAACAAGAGAAAUGAACAUAGCCUAAUCAAACCUUAGGUAGCUUGUCUUUGCUUAUAAGAGAAAUGAGAUGUGGUGUAGGUGAGAGGUUGCUAAGGUUGCUGUGCACACAGGAGCAAAUAGAAAAGUGAAUAGAUCUGAGUGAGACCGCAGGCUCUGGAGGAGCCCACUGUGUUUUAGUGUGUUCUGGAAUGGGGACAUCUGUGAGCAGAGCCAGCAGUUGUUUCAGCUUAGGUGACUUCAUCAUACAUAUCCUACCUGCCUUUAUAACUUAAGUUUCAGACAGGCCAAUUCCUUUCAGUUCCACAACCCUGCCAACCAGCACAGCCUCUUGCCCUGGGUGUGGAUAUGCUGCUCCUCCUUCACCCCCAGGCUUAGCCUUGUAAACCAGUCCAUUUUUCAGGAAACAGCUCAGAAAUCCCAGGGGUGCUUUCUUGGGUUAGAUGUCCCGUCAUGGUCCCCAAACUUGCAAGUUGCUGUGCUUUUCUUUUCUACAGUGCUGAAUGCACUAUUAAAAAGGCUUGUUUAUUGCUCUGUUUUCUCUUGUUGACUCAGAGAUUCUUGAGGGCAAUGCAGUAUGUUUUAUUCUGCAUUGCAUGUUGGAAUCAUUAUGUAUGUUUGUGUGCAGAGUCUCUCCAUGAAGAUUUGUCAAGCAGCAAAUUGUAUCUGCUCUGUACUUCUAUCUGCAUAAAUAUUCAAAUGAUUAUACAGUGUUAUUUUAC